RNAcentral lists this long non-coding RNA (313 nucleotides) under Ananas comosus (pineapple). RNAcentral's name for it is "long non-coding RNA (ACOM_LNC038554)". Lineage: Eukaryota; Viridiplantae; Streptophyta; Magnoliopsida; Poales; Bromeliaceae. The record is from RNAcentral.
UAAUAAAUUCUAAUAUGUUUUCAAACCUAAACCUUUCUAAUAACCAAAUAAUCGAACUCAAAAUACAAAAAAUAAAAACAUUUUGAAAAUAAUUAAAAAAUGCAAACAAUAGAGCCCUUAAAUAGUUGAAUCUGGGUCCCAAAUUUGGCCAGAAUAAUUUUAUCGUCCAACGUGUAGAUCUUGAAAAAAUAUUUUUCGAAUUGAGAUUGUAUGCUGAAAAGUUUGAUCGUUUAAAAAUUUUUACACUAAGAGUGUGUUUGGAUACUCGUAAAACAGCUCAGAAAAGUAUUUUUCGGUUGAAAAAUUAAUUUCC